CCUACGGGUGGCAGCAGUCGAGAAUCAUUCACAAUGGGGGAAACCCUGAUGGUGCGACGCCGCGUGGGGGAAUGAAGGUCUUCGGAUUGUAAACCCCUGUCAUGUGGGAGCAAAUUAAAAAGAUAGUACCACAAGAGGAAGAGACGGCUAACUCUGUGCCAGCAGCCGCGGUAAUACAGAGGUUUCAAGCGUUGUUCGGAAUCACUGGGCGUAAGGCGUGCGUAGGCUGUUUCGUAAGUCGUGUGUGAAAGGCGCGGGCUCAACCCGCGGAUGGCACAUGAUACUGCGAGACUAGAGUAAUGGAGGGGUAACCGGAAUUCUCGGUGUAGCAGUGAAAUGCGUAGAUAUCGAGAGGAACACUCGUGGCGAAGGCGGGUUCCUGGACAUUAACUGACGCUGAGGCACGAAGGCCAGGGGAGCGAAAGGGAUUAGAUACCCUGGUAGUC
RNAcentral lists this ribosomal RNA (446 nucleotides) under uncultured bacterium. Its description in RNAcentral is "partial 16S ribosomal RNA". It matches the Rfam family "Bacterial small subunit ribosomal RNA", at positions 338 to 795 of the family's 1533-position model. The record is from RNAcentral.